Molecule: ribosomal RNA, 693 nt
Filed under: Shigella sonnei
Lineage: Bacteria; Pseudomonadati; Pseudomonadota; Gammaproteobacteria; Enterobacterales; Enterobacteriaceae
Description: bacterial LSU rRNA
Rfam family: Bacterial large subunit ribosomal RNA
Source: RNAcentral
GGGUUGUGAGGUUAAGCGACUAAGCGUACACGGUGGAUGCCCUGGCAGUCAGAGGCGAUGAAGGACGUGCUAAUCUGCGAUAAGCGUCGGUAAGGUGAUAUGAACCGUUAUAACCGGCGAUUUCCGAAUGGGGAAACCCAGUGUGUUUCGACACACUAUCAUUAACUGAAUCCAUAGGUUAAUGAGGCGAACCGGGGGAACUGAAACAUCUAAGUACCCCGAGGAAAAGAAAUCAACCGAGAUUCCCCCAGUAGCGGCGAGCGAACGGGGAGGAGCCCAGAGCCUGAAUCAGUGUGUGUGUUAGUGGAAGCGUCUGGAAAGGCGCGCGAUACAGGGUGACAGCCCCGUACACAAAAAUACACAUAUUGUGAGCUCGAUGAGUAGGGCGGGACACGUGGUAUCCUGUCUGAAUAUGGGGGGACCAUCCUCCAAGGCUAAAUACUCCUGACUGACCGAUAGUGAACCAGUACCGUGAGGGAAAGGCGAAAAGAACCCCGGCGAGGGGAGUGAAAAAGAACCUGAAACCGUGUACGUACAAGCAGUGGGAGCACGCUUAGGCGUGUGACUGCGUACCUUUUGUAUAAUGGGUCAGCGACUUCUCUGCGGUAGCAAGGUUACCCUAAUAAGGGAGCCUCAGUGAAACCGAGUCUUAAAUAGGCGUUAAGUAGUACGGAAUAGAACGGAACCGCGGUG